This 465-nucleotide ribosomal RNA is filed under the name uncultured bacterium. RNAcentral's name for it is "bacterial SSU rRNA". It matches the Rfam family "Bacterial small subunit ribosomal RNA", at positions 330 to 793 of the family's 1533-position model. The record is from RNAcentral.
GCCAGACUCCUAGGGAGGCAGCAGUGAGGAAUAUUGGUCAAUGGGCGCGAGCCUGAACCAGCCAAGUAGCGUGAAGGAUGACGGCCCUACGGGUUGUAAACUUCUUUUAUAAAGGAAUAAAGUGAGGCACGUGUGCCUUUUUGUAUGUACUUUAUGAAUAAGGAUCGGCUAACUCCGUGCCAGCAGCCGCGGUAAUACGGAGGAUCCGAGCGUUAUCCGGAUUUAUUGGGUUUAAAGGGAGCGUAGAUGGGUUGUUAAGUCAGUUGUGAAAGUUUGCGGCUCAACCGUAAAAUUGCAAUUGAUACUGGCAGUCUUGGGUACAGUUGAGGUAGGCGGAAUUCGUGGUGUAGCGGUGAAAUGCAUAGAUAUCACGCAGAACUCCGAUCGCGAAGGCAGCCUACCGGCGUGCUACUGACGCUCAUGCACGAAAGCGUGGGUAUCGAACAGGAUUAGAUACCCCAGUAC